This is a long non-coding RNA of Bufo bufo (common toad), 148 nucleotides long. RefSeq lists it as uncharacterized. Lineage: Eukaryota; Metazoa; Chordata; Amphibia; Anura; Bufonidae. The transcript has 4 exons. The record is from RefSeq and is a predicted model, not a curated record.
GCGCUCUCCUAGAUGAAGGGGGGGGGGGGGUCCGUUCAACUCUCCGAGCGCAGUGCUGCUGGGGUAUUUAAACCCUGCAGCGCUCGCGCCCGUUUUGCCGCCCUGCGCCAGCCCGCUCUCCCAGGCAGGGGAUCCUUUGAUCCUCCCG